RNAcentral lists this ribosomal RNA (433 nucleotides) under uncultured bacterium. Its description in RNAcentral is "partial 16S ribosomal RNA". It matches the Rfam family "Bacterial small subunit ribosomal RNA", at positions 29 to 507 of the family's 1533-position model. The record is from RNAcentral.
AACGAACGCUGGCGGCAUGCCUAACACAUGCAAGUCGAACGAGACCUCCGGGUCAAGUUGCGCACGCGUGCGGAACGCGACGGAACCUGCCCUAAGGCAUGGAAUAAUACUCCGAAAGGGGUGCUAAUACCGGAUAAUGUCCUCUGAUCACACAUUUGUCCCCUUUGGAUAGGCCCGAGCUGGAUUAGCUAGUUGCUAGGGUAAAAGCCUACGAAGGGGACGAUCCAUAGCUGGUCUGAGAGGAAGAUCCGCCACACUGCGAGUGAGAAACGGACGGGACUACUGCGUGAGGCAGCAAUGCGGGAUAUUGGCCUAUGGGCGCUGGGCUGAUCCAGCUAUGCCGCGUGAGUGCUGUAGGCGUUAAGGUUGUAAAGCUCUUUUAUACGGUGUGGUAAUGACAGUACCGGGAGAAUAAGCUCCGGCUAACUCCGUG